Molecule: ribosomal RNA, 257 nt
Filed under: Diospyros mun
Lineage: Eukaryota; Viridiplantae; Streptophyta; Magnoliopsida; Ericales; Ebenaceae
Description: 5.8S ribosomal RNA
Rfam family: 5.8S ribosomal RNA (bases 99-254)
About the family: 5.8S ribosomal RNA (5.8S rRNA) is a component of the large subunit of the eukaryotic ribosome.
Source: RNAcentral
CACCGGCGCAGGACGCGCCAAGGAAACGAAACGAACGAGCGCGCCCCCGCCCGCGUAACGGGGGCGACGGGGCGACGCCUCUUUCGCUUACGCAAAACGACUCUCGGCAACGGAUAUCUUGGCUCUCGCAUCGAUGAAGAACGUAGCGAAAUGCGAUACUUGGUGUGAAUUGCAGAAUCCCGUGAACCAUCGAGUCUUUGAACGCAAGUUGCGCCCGAAGCCAUCCGGCCGAGGGCACGUCUGCCUGGGCGUCACGC